AGAGGGGUGUCCCCCCACACUGGUACUGACACACGGGCCCAGUCUUCUACGGGACGCAGCAGUGAGGAAUAUUGGCCAAGGGUCGGUAGCCAGAUACAGCUAUUCCGCGCACAGGAUGGAGGUCCCUAUGGAUUGUAAACUGCUUUUGUAAGAGAAGAAUAAAGAAUACGUGUACUUUGAUGACGGUACCUUGCGAAUAAGCAUCGGCUAUCUCCGUCCCAGCAGCCGCGGUAAUACAGAGGAUGCGAGCGUUAUCCGGAAUCAUUGGGUUUAAAGGGUGUGUAGGCGGGCUGAUAAGUCAGAGGUGAAAGCGCUUAGCUCAACUAAGCAACUGCCUUUGAAACUGUCAGUCUUGAAUGAUUGUGAAGUAGUUGGAAUGUGUAGUGUAGCGGUGAAAUGCUUAGAUAUUACACAGAACACCGAUAGCGAAGGCAUAUUACUAACAAUUUAUUGACGCUGAUGGACGAAAGCGUGGGGAGCGAACAGG
RNAcentral lists this ribosomal RNA (487 nucleotides) under uncultured Capnocytophaga sp. RNAcentral describes it as "bacterial SSU rRNA". It matches the Rfam family "Bacterial small subunit ribosomal RNA", at positions 295 to 776 of the family's 1533-position model. The record is from RNAcentral. Lineage: Bacteria; Pseudomonadati; Bacteroidota; Flavobacteriia; Flavobacteriales; Flavobacteriaceae.